RNAcentral lists this ribosomal RNA (253 nucleotides) under uncultured prokaryote. Its description in RNAcentral is "partial 16S ribosomal RNA". It matches the Rfam family "Bacterial small subunit ribosomal RNA", at positions 524 to 776 of the family's 1533-position model. The record is from RNAcentral.
UACAGAGGGGGCGAGCGUUGUUCGGAAUUACUGGGCGUAAAGGGCGCGUAGGCGGCCUCUUAAGUCGAACGUGAAAUCCCCGGGCUCAACCCGGGAACUGCGUCCGAUACUGGGAGGCUUGAAUCCGGGAGAGGGAUGUGGAAUUCCAGGUGUAGCGGUGAAAUGCGUAGAUAUCGGGAGGAACACCUGAGGCGAAGGCGGGCUACUGGGCUGAUACUGACGCUGAUGCGCGAAAGCCAGGGGAGCAAACGGG